CCUACGGGUUGCAGCAGUAGGGAAUCUUCCGCAAUGGACGAAAGUCUGACGGAGCAACGCCGCGUGAGUGAUGAAGGCUUUCGGGUCGUAAAACUCUGUUGUUAGGGAAGAACAAGUGCUAGUUGAAUAAGCUGGCACCUUAACGGUACCUAACCAGAAAGCCACGGCUAACUACGUGCCAGCAGCCGCGGUAAUACGUAGGUGGCAAGCGUUAUCCGGAAUUAUUGGGCGUAAAGCGCGCGCAGGUGGUUUCUUAAGUCUGAUGUGAAAGCCCACGGCUCAACCGUGGAGGGUCAUUGGAAACUGGGAGACUUGAGUGCAGAAGAGGAAAGUGGAAUUCCAUGUGUAGCGGUGAAAUGCGUAGAGAUAUGGAGGAACACCAGUGGCGAAGGCGACUUUCUGGUCUGUAACUGACACUGAGGCGCGAAAGCGUGGGGAGCAAACAGGAUUAGAUACCCCUGUAGUC
Molecule: ribosomal RNA, 466 nt
Filed under: uncultured bacterium
Lineage: Bacteria
Description: bacterial SSU rRNA
Rfam family: Bacterial small subunit ribosomal RNA
Source: RNAcentral